UACAGAGGUCUCAAGCGCUGUUCGGAUUCAUUGGGCGUAAAGGGUGCGUAGGCGGCGCGGUAAGUCGGGUGUGAAAUUUCGAGGCUUAACUUCGAAACUGCAUUCGAUACUGCCGUGCUUGAGGACUGGAGAGGAGACUGGAAUUUACGGUGUAGCGGUGAAAUGCGUAGAUAUCGUAAGGAAGACCAGUGGCGAAGGCGGGUCUCUGGACAGUUCCUGACGCUGAGGCACGAAGGCCAGGGGAGCAAACGGG
Molecule: ribosomal RNA, 253 nt
Filed under: uncultured bacterium
Lineage: Bacteria
Description: partial 16S ribosomal RNA
Rfam family: Bacterial small subunit ribosomal RNA
Source: RNAcentral